Podarcis lilfordi (Lilford's wall lizard) is the source of this 80-nucleotide non-coding RNA. Lineage: Eukaryota; Metazoa; Chordata; Lepidosauria; Squamata; Lacertidae. The record is from the annotation of a GenBank genome assembly.
UUGGGGAAGGUCCGUGGCCCAGUGACAGAGCAUCUGCCUUGCACGCAGAAGGUCCUGGGUUCAAUUGCCGGCACCUCAAA